This 253-nucleotide ribosomal RNA is filed under the name uncultured bacterium. Its description in RNAcentral is "partial 16S ribosomal RNA". It matches the Rfam family "Bacterial small subunit ribosomal RNA", at positions 524 to 776 of the family's 1533-position model. The record is from RNAcentral.
GACGAACCGUGCGAACGUUGUUCGGAAUCACUGGGCUUAAAGGGCGCGUAGGCGGCAGAUCAAGUCCGGGGUGAAAUCCUCCAGCUCAACUGGAGAAGUGCCUUGGAUACUGAUGUGCUCGAGGGAGGUAGGGGCCCGCGGAACUUCUGGUGGAGCGGUGAAAUGCGUUGAUAUCAGAAGGAACGCCGGUGGCGAAAGCGGCGGGCUGGAUCUCUACUGACGCUGAGGCGCGAAAGCUAGGGGAGCAAACGGG